RNAcentral lists this ribosomal RNA (583 nucleotides) under uncultured bacterium. RNAcentral describes it as "partial 16S ribosomal RNA". It matches the Rfam family "Bacterial small subunit ribosomal RNA", at positions 355 to 937 of the family's 1533-position model. The record is from RNAcentral.
UGGGGAAUUUUGGACAAUGGGCGAAAGCCUGAUCCAGCAAUGCCGCGUGUGUGAAGAAGGCCUUCGGGUUGUAAAGCACUUUUGUCCGGAAAGAAAUCCUUGGCUCUAAUACAGUCGGGGGAUGACGGUACCGGAAGAAUAAGCACCGGCUAACUACGUGCCAGCAGCCGCGGUAAUACGUAGGGUGCAAGCGUUAAUCGGAAUUACUGGGCGUAAAGCGUGCGCAGGCGGUUUGCUAAGACCGAUGUGAAAUCCCCGGGCUCAACCUGGGAACUGCAUUGGUGACUGGCAGGCUAGAGUAUGGCAGAGGGGGGUAGAAUUCCACGUGUAGCAGUGAAAUGCGUAGAGAUGUGGAGGAAUACCGAUGGCGAAGGCAGCCCCCUGGGCCAAUACUGACGCUCAUGCACGAAAGCGUGGGGAGCAAACAGGAUUAGAUACCCUGGUAGUCCACGCCCUAAACGAUGUCAACUAGUUGUUGGGAUUCAUUUCCUUAGUAACGUAGCUAACGCGUGAAGUUGACCGCCUGGGGAGUACGGUCGCAAGAUUAAAACUUAAAUGAAUUAACGGGGUCAUAGCUGUUUCC